AGCCCUCGGCGCUGUCAUGGCGGCCGGGAGCAGCUUCAGUGGGCACACGACAGCCGCGCGACCCGUGGCGGGGCGAGCUGUGGCAGUAGCAUCCUCACCACUCGCAGCAGCCUCAGCCGCGGCGUCCGUAGCGCCAGCAGCGGCUGCUUUUGCAAAGGCUGAGCGCAGGGGCGGGGCGGGCCAGGAAGCCAUGGAGUUCUGUGCAGCCGCGGACUCCCGGGGAGCGGACUAGGGAAACUUGGAGGCUGCGACCAGGGUUUGGCGUUGUUGUCAGCCUCGGGGAGAGAGAUUGGACAAAUAUUCUCCAAGAGGAGGAGGGCGACGCCAAGGACUUUCCACAUCAACUGCUUUGGGGUAUCUCCACAAGUUGGAAGAGGGACCCUUUCGUUUUGCAUUGCGUGUGUUGUGCUCAUUACCAGUGCAGCGACUGCUGUCCCAGGGUGACUCUGAGUUGUCCUUUCUCGUGAGCUAGCAAUGGCUAGCGAAGACAAUCGUGUCCCUUCCCCGCCACCAACAGGUGAUGACGGGGGAGGUGGAGGGAGAGAAGAAACCCCUACUGAAGGGGGUGCAUUGUCUCUGAAACCAGGGCUCCCCAUCAGGGGCAUCAGAAUGAAAUUUGCCGUGUUGACCGGUUUGGUUGAAGUUGGAGAAGUAUCCAAUAGGGAUAUUGUAGAAACUGUCUUUAACCUGGUAAGUCCAUGAAUAUUUUAUAAGCAUAUACUCUUUUCAGUGGGUUGGGGAACAAGAUCUUAAAGCUGGAGCCAUGUGGUUUACUCACACUGAUGGUGACUUUUUUCAUGUAUAGGGACACAAAAUUCUACUCACCUAAAUGAAACAAUUUCAUCUGUUUUUUAGAUUGAAGGGAAUUGUGCAAACUUAGAUGAUCCAGGUUUUGUGAAAGUGAACACAUCACUUUUGUGCUAAGGAAAUAAUUGUUGCUAUGGAAGUAUUGGGGGGAGGUUCUAGCGGAGGAGUUAUCUCUAAUUUUUUUUUUCUUGGCUUGUAUGCCUAAGUCUGCGUUUCCCUUUACCACUUUAAAUAAUUUCUUGUGACCUUUUUUUUGGACUUGAGAAUUAAUGUCUUUGAUUCUGUCGAAGUUAUGUUUUGCUACAAUAAGUUUAAAAAUUUGUAGUGCUGAUGCAAGAUUAAUUUGCUGCAAAGUUAGUAUUUUUAAUUUUGACUAGUUUUAUUUUUAGACAUAACUAACAAAAGUUAAAUUGGGGAUGAAUUUAGGAUUGCAUUUAAAGUAAUCUUGUGAAAAUUGAAUGGCAAUAUGAAAAAAGGAAUUGAAGCGGAUACAGUAUAAUUUUUAUGUGUUUUAUAAAUUCAUGUCUAGCAGGAAAGCAUAGUUAGUCAUUGGAAGUUGCUGAUUAUACUAAGAUGAGCUAUGAAUGCUUUUUUUUGGGUGGGGGUGGGAGGGGGAUGAGGCCUCUCUAUGUUGCCCAGGCUGUUCUCAAACUCCUAAGUUCAAGCUAUCCUCCUGCUUCAGUCUUAUGAGUAGUUGUGGCUAUAGGCAUGCAUCACUGUAUAGGGCUUAAAUUGUUUUUAAAUUGAGGUAUAAUUCAUAUAUUAUACAAUUCUACCUUUAAUUAAUUCAUUAACUUAUUUAUUUAGAGAUGAGGUCUCACUCUGUUGCCUAGGCUAGUUUUGAAUUCCUGGGUUCAGGCGAUUCUCCCCUCUGUCUCCUAAGUAGCUGGAACUACUGGCAUGCGCCAUUGUUCCUGGCUUGGUUAUCAUUUAUAAUGGAGACUUUUUAGAUUUCUUUAUUCCAGCCUCUCUUGCCCAUCAACUUAAAGAAUCAAAAGGAAAUCUGGCCCUAAAAUACUUCCCCCUUUUCUACCUACCCACCUGUGUUAGAGGAUAACAGGACCAAAUAUAAACAUGCAGUUAAUUGUAAUAACUGUUUAGCACCUUUCCCUUUGCCUCUUUUCAAGGUUAGGCUUGUUUUAUUCUGGGGCAGUUAAUUAUUUCUUUCACUAGACCUUCUCUAAUGGUCUGGUCACCUGCAGUACAACUUCUAGAAUAAGAAAGUAGCUAGAUGGAAUUCUGGCUGGGCGUGGUGACUCACGCCUGUAAUCCCAGCACCGCAGGAAGCCGAGGCGGGCACAUCACUUGAGGUUAGGAGUUUGAGACUGGCCUAGUCAACAUGGUGAAACCCCAUCUCUACUAAAAAUACAAAAAAAUUAGCUGGAUGCGCUUGCUUGUACCCAGGAGGUGGAGGUUGCUGUGAGCCGAGAUCGUGCCAAUGCACUCCAGCCUGGGUGGCAGAGUGAGAGACUGUUUC
This 2284-nucleotide small RNA is filed under the name Pan troglodytes (chimpanzee). RNAcentral describes it as "retained intron". The record is from RNAcentral. Lineage: Eukaryota; Metazoa; Chordata; Mammalia; Primates; Hominidae.